UACGUAGGGGGCUAGCGUUGUCCGGAAUCAUUGGGCGUAAAGAGCGUGUAGGCGGCCCGGUAAGUCCGCUGUGAAAGUCGGGGGCUCAACCCUCGAAUGCCGGUGGAUACUGUCGGGCUAGAGUGCGGAAGAGGCGAGUGGAAUUCCUGGUGUAGCGGUGAAAUGCGCAGAUAUCAGGAGGAACACCGAUUGCGAAGGCAGCUCGCUGGGACGUUACUGACGCUGAGGCGCGAAGGCGUGGGGAGCGAACGGG
RNAcentral lists this ribosomal RNA (253 nucleotides) under uncultured bacterium. RNAcentral describes it as "partial 16S ribosomal RNA". It matches the Rfam family "Bacterial small subunit ribosomal RNA", at positions 524 to 776 of the family's 1533-position model. The record is from RNAcentral.